AGCUUUGCGCUGUGGCAGUAUCGUAGCCAAUGAGGUUUAUCUGAGGCGAGAUUAUUGCUAAUUGAAAACUUUUCCCAAUACCCUGCCGUGACAACUUGCAAUACAGUCGACACUGGCAAUUUUUGACAGUCUCUAUGGAGA
Molecule: small nuclear RNA, 141 nt
Organism: Callithrix jacchus (white-tufted-ear marmoset)
Lineage: Eukaryota; Metazoa; Chordata; Mammalia; Primates; Cebidae
Gene: U4
Rfam family: U4 spliceosomal RNA
About the family: U4 small nuclear RNA (U4 snRNA) is a component of the major U2-dependent spliceosome.
Source: Ensembl